AGAUCUAAUUAAACGACGUGUUUUGUAUUAGGGGUUGCGCGUCUCCAUCCGAGAUCCUCUCUCUGCGCGGUCUCCAUCCUCAUCGCACAACUGAUCUUUCGUCUUCCUUCCCGUACCAGAUGAUACCAGUAACGGCUUUCUCUCAUAAAGCCAUCCAUUAAUCGAGCACCCAUGAUCUAUAUUAAAUAUGAUUCUUGAGAGUUUGAAACUGGAAGGCGGUGGACGUUCUAUAUAAAAAGGUUUGUUGUCUUCCUCCACUUGAGUUCAUAUGCUUCGUCUGGAUUCUAAGGAUAUUCUGUUCCUAGCUUUUUAUUGGCAGACCCUUGAAAGGGUUUCCGACCGUCACUCCGCGGCAGAGUUGCUUGCAGUCGUGGGGUUCAAUAAUCAACUUAAAAACUUCGUAUAUUCCAGAUUUGGUUGCUUCUGCCGGGCUGGUCAUGGAUGUUACUCCUAGCCAUCUCAUGGAUAGGGAGCAGUUUGAUUUAAUUUCGAUCUGUGACAGUAACAAUGGUUUCGGCAGGUAUCAACUUAGUUCCCGUGAUCGGAAUGGGUUUGUUGAUUUGAUUUUGAUAUGUAGAUACCGAACAUGAAACACAGUCUCUCUAAACCGUUGGUUGACUAACAUAUGGUGUAGAUUGUUUUCUUUGUUGAUCACAUAUCAAUCGUUUUCAGUAGAAGACUGAUUUGAGAGUUUUUGAACUGUGUAGAGUAUAGAACUGUCAUAGAUGUUGCAGUUCUCUUGGUCAUCAUUGAAUAAGUCAAGUGUCUUACUUACCAGGAGAUUGCUAAUAUUCCCUUAGGAGAUGAAUCUAUAAGAUGUGGUCAGAAACUGGAGGUUAACGGAGAGAAAGCAACUGGCCAGGUAGAGGAGUUCCCAAAGAUCAAUCAGCUCCUGUCUAUAUAGCCAUUGGUGAUGGAAGAAACAUGGAAGGAUUUGCUCCAGAUUUCUGCAGAAUGACUGAGCCUCAGCCUAAGUACUCUGCCACAGAGAAGCAAGCUUUGUUCACAUUAUAAUCUUGAUAGAGAAGUGGACAUAUGGGCAAUAUGAAUGGCACAAGAACAAGUUACGUUUAUUAAGGCUGACACCAUGUGGUUUUACAAUAGGUUAUGGCAUUCUGAUGAUGAUUCUCUUUGGUAUCAAAAUACCAGGUUAUGGUGAUAUAUGUUUUUGUAUGCAUUAUUUGUAAUUGAAUAAUGAUGAAUAAAGGCAAUGUGGGUUAGUUUUUUGUGUU
Raphanus sativus (radish) is the source of this 1232-nucleotide long non-coding RNA. RefSeq lists it as uncharacterized. The transcript is spliced from 6 exons. Lineage: Eukaryota; Viridiplantae; Streptophyta; Magnoliopsida; Brassicales; Brassicaceae. The record is from RefSeq and is a predicted model, not a curated record.